Molecule: ribosomal RNA, 556 nt
Filed under: uncultured bacterium
Lineage: Bacteria
Description: bacterial SSU rRNA
Rfam family: Bacterial small subunit ribosomal RNA
Source: RNAcentral
GGAUUGNCANUGGGCGCAGCCUGAUGCAGCGACGCCGCGUGGGGGAUGACGGCCUUCGGGUUGUAAACCUCUUUCACCAUCGACGAAGGUCCGGGUUUUCUCGGAUUGACGGUAGGUGGAGAAGAAGCACCGGCCAACUACGUGCCAGCAGCCGCGGUAAUACGUAGGGUGCGAGCGUUGUCCGGAAUUACUGGGCGUAAAGAGCUCGUAGGUGGUUUGUCGCGUUGUUCGUGAAAACUCACGGCUUAACUGUGAGCGUGCGGGCGAUACGGGCAGACUGGAGUACUGCAGGGGAGACUGGAAUUCCUGGUGUAGCGGUGGAAUGCGCAGAUAUCAGGAGGAACACCGGUGGCGAAGGCGGGUCUCUGGGCAGUAACUGACGCUGAGGAGCGAAAGCGUGGGGAGCGAACAGGAUUAGAUACCCUGGUAGUCCACGCCGUAAACGGUGGGUACUAGGUGUGGGUUUCCUUCCUUGGGAUCCGUGCCGUAGCUAACGCAUUAAGUACCCCGCCUGGGGAGUACGGCCGCAAGGCUAAAACUCAAAGAAAUUGACGGA